AACUGCUUCUACAGCUCGAAGGGCGCUCUUCUGUAUCGACACGGCGGUCUGCAAGCCAAAAUGUGGGGGAAAUGGCGGUGCCAAAAACGUCCAGGGCAUCACCACACCGACAAGAAUUUACCUGAAUUUCGGCGGCCUCAAACAUAACGUUAACUUAAUAUUCCGGCGCGGCGAGAAGACCCGCAAUGUAAAGGGAAUGGAGGUGCUAAACCUCCACACCCCAGGGCAUCACUACACCGAGAAGAAUUUGAGGGCUGCUCAAACCUAGCUAACGUUGAUUUUAUGACGAGGAGACCCACAGUAUAAAGGACUACACGUGAAUACGUCCUAACUAGAAAAGACACGCAAAGAGAAGGUCGGCCUGUGCCAGAAAUAUGACAAGGAUGCAAGAAGCAGGGAAGGAGACAUCUCUCAGCAUCAUCCAGGACCUUAUUGUUGCCAAAAACUACACCUCUCACGGGAAAGGGCUUUAAGGGAUGAAAAAAGGUUUGUGAUGUGCAUUAAGUAGCUUUUGGUACCAAACUUAGAAUUCCCUCUGUGUAUCUGAGACAUUUUCGACAGGGAUAAUCAAGUUUCUUGGUUGUUGGCAAGGUGUUUGAGUUUGAUUUGGUGACAUCCUGAGUGACAUUGCUGGUUGGGGGUUGGGCCAUUUUGAGGGUUUUGGCUCCUUUUGCACGCAUGGCUUUAGUCUUUCUGUGGGAUACAGGUCCGAUGUAUGGUUGAUUUGGUUUCUGUGACCAUGUCGGUGGCUGGGAUUGUGUUUGGAGUUGCUGCAAAGUUCAGUCCUCUAGAAAACGGAGACUUCCUUAAGUUCUGUUAGCCCAUGAU
Long non-coding RNA from Branchiostoma belcheri (Belcher's lancelet), 828 nucleotides. RefSeq lists it as uncharacterized. The record is from RefSeq and is a predicted model, not a curated record. The transcript has 4 exons. Lineage: Eukaryota; Metazoa; Chordata; Leptocardii; Amphioxiformes; Branchiostomatidae.